CUUGGACCCAUUUUUGGCCAUCUUGGCUCCAAUUUCAGCCAUUUUGGAUCCAUUUCGGCCAUCUUGAAUCCAACUUUAACCCAAAAUUUUGCAUUUUUGGGGGUUUUUUUUGGGUUUUUUUGGGCAUUUUUUACUCAGAAUUUUUUCCCCAUCCAUGGGCGUGUCUAUGCUAAUCACCCUCAUUAUUAUGCAGACCCCGCCCACUCCCCGGACGUUUUCCCGCUUUACUCCUGCGAGGAUUGUCAGGACCAGGUGACCUUCGGCUGCUUCGCCGCCGGAUUUUUCCCUCAACCGGCGCAGAUCUCCUGGGACGGCGCCGCCGCCGACCACAACCGGAACUUUCCGGAACUUCCGGUGGGCGGGGCCAAGUUCGGGCGGAGCUCCCGCGUCACCCUCGGCGCCGCCGAGGCCAAAGACCAAAAAUUCCAGUGCCGGGUGGAGCAUUACGGCAAAAGUUUCGGCGUCGACGUGAAUGGUUGCAACCAGCCCCCCAACUUCACCAUCUCCCUCCUGAGCGACCCCAACCAGGCCCACCCCGAGCAGAACCAGGUCCACCUCCUGUGCCAAGUCCGCGGCCGCGGCGCCGCCGACGCCGCCCUCACCUGGUUGGUCAACGGCGACCCCGCCCAGUUGGGGGCGGAGCUUUCCAGCUGCCAAGAGGGCGGAGCCGCCGGUCAGGUGACCCUGAGCGGCCGCGUCAACGUCAGCCGCAGCCAAUGGGACGAAGGGAACAACUUCACCUGCCGGGCAAGCCACGCCCACCUGGCCACGCCCAUCGAGGCCAGCAUCAGCACCUUCUGUAAAGCCGCCGCCCCCAAGCCCUCGGUGUCGCUGCUGCCGCCCACCCUGCAGGACCUUUUCCUCUCCAACCACCCCAACCUCACCUGCGUCGCCACCGACCUCCCGACCCCCGACGCCGAAUUCACCUGGGCCACUUCCGGGGGCGGGGCCACUUCCGGGGGCGGGGCCACUUCCGGGGGCGGGGCCACUUCCGGCCCCGCCCAGCCCCUCCCCAACGGCCGCUACGAGAUCCGGAACGUUCUGGAAAUCUGCGCCGAGGAUUGGAACGCCGGCGUCGCCUUCACGUGCCGAGUGCGCGCCGGGGAGCUGGAGAUGGAGGCCAGCGCCAGGAAGGAGAUCGGCGGCACCGCCACGGCGCCGAACGUCUUCGUCUUCCCACCGCCGGCCGAGGAGUUGGCCCGGGGCGAGUCGGCCACCUUGACCUGCCUGGCCGCCGGAUUCUCGCCGCGGGACGUUCUCCUCACCUGGACCCAGCGCGACGCGCCGGUGCCACCAGAGAGGUUCUCCAUCUUUGGACCACAACCGGAUGUUGGUGGGGUCGGGACCUUCUCGGUCUACUCCAAGUUGGAGGUUCCGGCGGUGGAGUGGCGGCGCGGGGACGUCUUCGGGUGCGUGGUGGGACACGAGGCCGUGGGAGGAGUGAAGUUCCUGCAGAGGAACGUGGACCGGUGGUCGGCGCGACCGGCCAAUGUCAAUGUGUCCGUGGUGUUGGCCGACACUGAUGUCGUCUGCUAUUGAUUUUGGGCCAAUAAAUGAGAUUUUGAGAAAUUAAA
Taeniopygia guttata (zebra finch) is the source of this 1574-nucleotide non-coding RNA. The record is from the annotation of a RefSeq genome assembly. Lineage: Eukaryota; Metazoa; Chordata; Aves; Passeriformes; Estrildidae.